RNAcentral lists this ribosomal RNA (1370 nucleotides) under uncultured bacterium. RNAcentral's name for it is "bacterial SSU rRNA". It matches the Rfam family "Bacterial small subunit ribosomal RNA", at positions 28 to 1381 of the family's 1533-position model. The record is from RNAcentral.
GAUGAACGCUGGCGGCGUGCCUAAUACAUGCAAGUCGAGCGAACGGACGAGAAGCUUGCUUCUCUGAUGUUAGCGGCGGACGGGUGAGUAACACGUGGAUAACCUACCUAUAAGACUGGGAUAACUUCGGGAAACCGGAGCUAAUACCAGAUAAUAUUUUGAACCGCAUGGUUCAAAAGUGAAAGACGGUCUUGCUGUCACUUAUAGAUGGAUCCGCGCUGCAUUAGCUAGUUGGUAAGGUAACGGCUUACCAAGGCAACGAUGCAUAGCCGACCUGAGAGGGUGAUCGGCCACACUGGAACUGAGACACGGUCCAGACUCCUACGGGAGGCAGCAGUAGGGAAUCUUCCGCAAUGGGCGAAAGCCUGACGGAGCAACGCCGCGUGAGUGAUGAAGGUCUUCGGAUCGUAAAACUCUGUUAUUAGGGAAGAACAUAUGUGUAAGUAACUGUGCACAUCUUGACGGUACCUAAUCAGAAAGCCACGGCUAACUACGUGCCAGCAGCCGCGGUAAUACGUAGGUGGCAAGCGUUAUCCGGAAUUAUUGGGUGUAAAGCGCGCGUAGCGGUUUUUUAGUCUGAUGUGAAAGCCCACGGCUCAACCGUGGAGGGUCAUUGGAAACUGGAAAACUUGAGUGCAGAAGAGGAAAGUGGAAUUCCAUGUGUAGCGGUGAAAUGCGCAGAGAUAUGGAGGAACACCAGUGGCGAAGGCGACUUUCUGGUCUGUAACUGACGCUGAUGUGCGAAAGCGUGGGGAUCAAACAGGAUUAGAUACCCUGGUAGUCCACGCCGUAAACGAUGAGUGCUAAGUGUUAGGGGGUUUCCGCCCCUUAGUGCUGCAGCUAACGCAUUAAGCACUCCGCCUGGGGAGUACGACCGCAAGGUUGAAACUCAAAGGAAUUGACGGGGACCCGCACAAGCGGUGGAGCAUGUGGUUUAAUUCGAAGCAACGCGAAGAACCUUACCAAAUCUUGACAUCCUUUGACAACUCUAGAGAUAGAGCUUUCCCCUUCGGGGGACAAAGUGACAGGUGGUGCAUGGUUGUCGUCAGCUCGUGUCGUGAGAUGUUGGGUUAAGUCCCGCAACGAGCGCAACCCUUAAGCUUAGUUGCCAUCAUUAAGUUGGGCACUCUAAGUUGACUGCCGGUGACAAACCGGAGGAAGGUGGGGAUGACGUCAAAUCAUCAUGCCCCUUAUGAUUUGGGCUACACACGUGCUACAAUGGACAAUACAAAGGGCAGCGAAACCGUGAGGUCAAGCAAAUCCCAUAAAGUUGUUCUCAGUUCGGAUUGUAGUCUGCAACUCGACUACAUGAAGCUGGAAUCGCUAGUAAUCGUAGAUCAGCAUGCUACGGUGAAUACGUUCCCGGGUCU